Molecule: long non-coding RNA, 339 nt
Filed under: Cricetulus griseus (Chinese hamster)
Lineage: Eukaryota; Metazoa; Chordata; Mammalia; Rodentia; Cricetidae
Description: lncRNA (ENSCGRG00015042255.1)
Source: RNAcentral
CAGUUUGUCAUCUAGAAUUGCACACUUGGAGAGGAUUCACCAGAAAGUUCUCAGGAAGCUUAUGGGCCUGCUUUUGAGAAAUUACAGAGAAAGGCAGAAGGAGCCUUGACGGCAGCACAAAGUACUUAACAAACCCACUUGUAGAAGGUGUUCUUGCUUUGGUGAGAGAGGACAGAGAAAUAACACACAAGACUGUUUUAAUUAUUUUGUUUUUGUUUUUGAUGACUCAGGGGAUUAAAUAAAGUGAAAUUACCCAAACUUUACUUUUUUCCUUGUUGUUUUUGUAGUCUGACUGAUCAGGAACUUUCAUGUAGACCAGGUUGGUCUUGAACAGGAACA